CAGGGCCGACCAUCCAUGAGGCUGAAGACUUGUGGUGCUGGGACUGGCACCAGGACAGCAGGCUCCUGGGCUACAGGAACACAGCCAAGGUGGGGGAGGUAAGGACACUCUGCCAGGGCAUGAGACAGCUCAGGGAGUGGGGGUGGCUGGGUCCCCUGCAGUGGCUGCCUCCUGGGGCCACUAGACGGAGAUACCGUUCUAGCCCCGUGAUUUGGAGCCUGGUUCUGGGCAAUCUGCUAAUGCCUCAUGUCCUGUUGGUUUGAGGUCUUCAGAAAGUUCUUCUCGGAGGGGCAGAGAAGAGCCUUCCUCCGGACGGCACUGCUGGCCAUCCGCAACCCCCUACUGCGUGUCUGCCAGGCUGGGCUGCUCCUCACCUACUCCCUCCUGGGGGAAGCCCAGCAGUUGGUGGGGGACAAGCAGGAGGACGUCACGGCCAAUGUGAUGCGCCAGCUCCGCAUCAUCUGGCACUUGCGCCAGGGGCCUGAGGCACUGCAGGGACUGUGCCUCUGAGGCCACCAGCAACUCCCGCUCCCUGCUGCAGCUGUCUUCCAGGCCCUGGGAUCUGGCACAGCCUCCCAGAUGGGCACAUCCUGCAGCUGAGCCACCUCAGGGAGCAGUGGGGACAGGUCACCUCGUCCCAUCAAAGCAAGCCAUGCUGGCUCCCAAAGAGGCUGAGAUUGAAGACCCCGCUCCCUCCUGGAGCUCUGUCCCAACCUCUCACACAGAUAUAUCCUGCAGCCAGCCCAGCUCAGGGAGCAGUGGGGACAGUGAUUUCAUCCUAUCAAACCAAGCAACAUGGGUCUCAUUGAGGCUUAGAUGGAAGAUCCCAUG
Molecule: long non-coding RNA, 831 nt
Organism: Chelonia mydas (Green sea turtle)
Lineage: Eukaryota; Metazoa; Chordata; Testudines; Cheloniidae
Exons: 4
Source: RefSeq, a predicted model, not a curated record